GUCCUUUAGAUUUUUAUUUAAGGUCGGGCCUGCUCUAUGAUUAAUUAUUAAAUGGCUGCAGUAUUUUAACUGUACUAAGGUAGCAUAAUCAAUUGUCUUUUAAUUGAAGGCUAGAAUGAAUGGUUUGAUGAAAUAUAAACUUUUUUAUUUAAAUUAUUUGAAUUUAUUUUUUUAGUUAAAAAACUAAAAUAUCUAUAUAAGACGAGAAGACCCUAUAGAACUUUAUUUUUUUUAUUUAAUUAUAUUUUUUUUAUUAAUAUAUUUAUUUAUUUAAGAAUUAUGUUGGGGUGACAUUAAGAUUUUUUUAACUUUUAAUUAUUUUUUUUAUUAAUUAUUAUAAUUUUGAUCCAGUAUUAUUGAUUAUAAGUUUAAGUUACCUUAGGGAUAACAGCGUUAUUUAUUCGGAGAGUUCAAAUCGAUGAAUGAGUUUGCGA
RNAcentral lists this ribosomal RNA (434 nucleotides) under Mesoveloidea williamsi. RNAcentral describes it as "partial 16S ribosomal RNA". The record is from RNAcentral. Lineage: Eukaryota; Metazoa; Arthropoda; Insecta; Hemiptera; Mesoveliidae.